CCUUAGGACAGUUAAUCUAAGGUUAAACCUGCCCAAUGUUAACUUUAUUAAUGGCCGCGGUACUUUGACCGUGCUAAGGUAGCGCAAUCAAUUGGCUUUUAAUUGAAGCCACGUAUGAAUGGAAUCACGGGGUUUAGCUGUCUCCUGGAUAAUCUAUCAAAAUUACUAUCUAGGUGAAAAAGCCUAGCAAAAGAAAAAAGACGAGAAGACCCUUAGAGUUUUUCCAAAAUUAGAUUAUUUCUAAUACAGUUUAGUUGGGGCAACAUAGGAACACAAUUUUAAACCUCCUGUAAAAUACUUACCGAUAUUUAUAAAUAUGAACAAACUACCUUAGGGAUAACAGCAUAAUUUCAUAAAUAAGUUUGUGACCUCGAUGUUGGACUAGGAAACUGGAAGGCUAGCCGCCUUCUAGGAAAGUUCUGUUCGAACUAUUAUUCCU
Molecule: ribosomal RNA, 439 nt
Filed under: Diaulula sandiegensis
Lineage: Eukaryota; Metazoa; Mollusca; Gastropoda; Nudibranchia; Discodorididae
Description: partial large subunit ribosomal RNA
Rfam family: Archaeal large subunit ribosomal RNA
Source: RNAcentral